UAUAGCGCACAGCUCGUCUCUCCUCAAGUUUAAGAAGCCUUUCUUGAGGAAUGAGGCGUCAGAAAAAGGCUUCACUUUUUGAGUCUAGUGCUCGGACUCAAAAAGUAACAAAAGUGCACUAGGGAAUUGAGACUCUGUCCGCAAAGUCACAAUUCCCAAAAAACGAUUGCGGACUGCGCUCGGAGAAGCCGAGGUCAACUAUCUUCGGACGCGGGUUCGACUCCCGCCGUCUCCACCA
Molecule: transfer-messenger RNA, 238 nt
Filed under: Defluviitoga tunisiensis
Lineage: Bacteria; Thermotogati; Thermotogota; Thermotogae; Petrotogales; Petrotogaceae
Description: partial transfer-messenger RNA
Rfam family: transfer-messenger RNA
About the family: Bacterial tmRNA, also known as 10Sa RNA or SsrA, is named for its dual tRNA and mRNA-like properties. Its role is to liberate the mRNA from a stalled ribosome. To accomplish this part of the tmRNA is used as a reading frame that ends in a translation stop signal.
Source: RNAcentral